This 459-nucleotide ribosomal RNA is filed under the name uncultured bacterium. RNAcentral's name for it is "partial 16S ribosomal RNA". It matches the Rfam family "Bacterial small subunit ribosomal RNA", at positions 338 to 795 of the family's 1533-position model. The record is from RNAcentral.
CCUACGGGAGGCAGCAGUGAGGAAUAUUGGUCAAUGGUCGGGAGACUGAACCAGCCAAGCCGCGUGAGGGAGGAAGGUACAGAGUAUCGUAAACCUCUUUUGUCAGGGAACAAAGACUGGGACGCGUCCCCGGAUGAGUGUACCUGAAGAAAAAGCAUCGGCUAACUCCGUGCCAGCAGCCGCGGUAAUACGGAGGAUGCGAGCGUUAUCCGGAUUUAUUGGGUUUAAAGGGUGCGCAGGCGGUCUGUUAAGUCAGCGGGCAAAGCCCGGGGCUCAACCCCGGUCCGCCGUUGAAACUGGCAGUCUCGAGUUGGAGAGAAGUAGGCGGAAUGCGCGGUGUAGCGGUGAAAUGCAUAGAUAUCGCGCAGAACUCCGAUUGCGAAGGCAGCAUGCCGGCUCCACACUGACGCUGAGGCACGAAAGCGUGGGUAUCGAACAGGAUUAGAUACCCUUGUAGUC